RNAcentral lists this ribosomal RNA (500 nucleotides) under uncultured Glomeromycotina. RNAcentral describes it as "partial small subunit ribosomal RNA". It matches the Rfam family "Eukaryotic small subunit ribosomal RNA", at positions 591 to 1092 of the family's 1831-position model. Lineage: Eukaryota; Fungi; Glomeromycota. The record is from RNAcentral.
CCAAUAGCGUAUAUUAAAGUUGUUGCAGUUAAAAAGCUCGUAGUUGAAUUUCGGGACCAAUAUGUCUGUCGUGCCUUCGGUACGUACGGGUAUAAUUGGUUCCUACCUUCUGAUGAACCUUGAUGCCAUUAAUUUGGUGUCUUGGGGACUCAGGACUGUUACCUUGAAAAAAUUAGAGUGUUUAAAGCAGGCAUGCGCUUGAAUACAUUAGCAUGGAAUAAUGAAAUAGGACGUUCGAUUCCAUUUUGUUGGUUUCUAGGAUCGACGUAAUGAUUAAUAGGGAUAGUUGGGGGCAUUAGUAUUCAAUUGUCAGAGGUGAAAUUCUUGGAUUUAUUGAAGACUAACUACUGCGAAAUCAUUUGCCAAGGAUGUUUUCAUUAAUCAAGAACGAAAGUUAGGGGAUCGAAGACGAUCAGAUACCGUCGUAGUCUUAACCAUAAACUAUGCCGACUAGGGAUCGGAUGAUGUUGAUUUUUUAAUGACUCAUUCGGCGCCUUACG